This is a long non-coding RNA of Macaca fascicularis (crab-eating macaque), 2516 nucleotides long. The record is from Ensembl. Lineage: Eukaryota; Metazoa; Chordata; Mammalia; Primates; Cercopithecidae.
AGCCAGACUCAGCCUCAAAAAAAAAUUUUUGUAGAGAGAUUGGGUUUUGCCAUCUAGUCCAGGCUAGUCUUGAACUCCUGGGCUCAAGAGAUCUUUCUGCCUCUCAGCCUUCCCAAGUGCUGUGAUCACAGAUGCGAGCCUGUGUGAACCCUUAAAGAGCAGCCUUCCAUUAAUCUUUGGGGAUUUCACAACUCCUUAACUAAAGUGGAUAUUUAAUAAAUAUUUGUUAGAAAAUCUCAGCAAAUCAUUCAAGUGUCAGCUCAGGACAGGAGUUGAAAGCUCUUUGCCAGCAUAUUUUAAACUCACUUUUGGGACUGACCAUAUGUGAUUAUUGAAUAACCAUUUAAGAAAAAUGUUUGAGAACACAUUUGCAGGCUUCAAACUACAUAAAGAAACGGGAGAAAAGGAAUGAUGCCAAAGACUGGGGUCAAGGUUAAAAAAAAUGAGAUUUAAAUUUGGAAAAUGAUAAAUUAACCAGAAAAGUUUAUGUAUUCGGGGUUUUACUAUGUGAUCUUGCUGCAGAACAAGUGGAGAAACUAACAACCCAUGGAAGAAAAUUCAUAUAAUACUGGGAUCAAGUCAAAACACCUGAUGGUUUUAGAGGACAGAAUUUUCAGAGAGAAAAACACAACCAGAUGACUUUCUGCACCCCUUCCCCAGGCCAUGGGUGCCUGCCUGAUUCCUAUAGUAAUGAAGGAACGUUUUCCUGAUGUGACCAUAUUCAUGGUGUCAGUGCAAUCUCAGCAGAGAUGACGCUCCCCACUCAAGCUGCCAUGUGACUUGACAGGGAUCACCAAGUUCCUGUUGUCAAGAGAGAACCCUGGGCAAGAACCAGGGCCAUGUUCUUUCCUGGUCGUCUUUUCCCUACUGCCUAAGGAGCUCAGCCAUGGAACGUGGAAAAGCUAUGGAGACAGUAACUCUGUGGUCAUGCCAGUCAGGUCCUUUUCUCACUUUUAUUGCAGACUGAAAGACUGUCCUGUCCUGAGGACAGGCUUAGCAUUUUCCAGUAUCAUGAUAUGUAAUGUCUAUUUUUUAUUUUCUUAAAAUGUUCGGUGGGAGAGUGUCUACAGUGAAAAAGGUAUAUAAUAUCAAAGGCUGGUGAGGAUGUGGAGCAACUGGAAUGACUGCACUCAGCUGAUAGAAGGGAAAAGUAGUACAACCACUUUGGAAACCUGGGAGAAUCUGCUAAAGCUGAACAUGUAUAUACCCCAAAGCCCAGCAAUUCCACUCCCAGGUGUAUAGCCAACGGAGAGAUGUACACAUGUACUAGAAUGUUCAUAGCAACACUAUUCAUAUUAACCUCAAACUGGAAACAAUAAGUUCAUCUAUAGUAGAAUGAAUAAAUUGUGGCAUAUUUAUAUGUGGGACACAGUAAUGACAUGAAAAAACUACAACUACAUGCAAUAAUAUACAUGGAUCUUACAAUGCUGAGCAAAGAAUCCGGACACAAUAGAGUCCAUAGUGUAUGAUUCUACUUACAUAAAAUCAAGAUGUUUAUAUUAAAGUAUAAAAAACAAUUUUUGAAGGUAAACUCAUCUAUGGUGUUAGAAAUCAGGAUCAUAAUUAUGUGGGAGCAGUGACUAGGCAUUAUACGAUUCUGGGGUGCUGGUAAUGCUCUGCUUUUUGAUAAAGUUAUUCAUUACAUGGAUUUGUCAUUUUGUGAAAAUUCAUCAAGCUGUGUACUCAUGAUUGGUUCACUUUUCUAUAUGUGUGUUAUACUUCAAUACAAUUUACAAAAAAAUAUACAGUGAGGUCUUUGGAACCUAUCUGUUAAAAGAGGUAUUUAAAAUCAUGAGUUGCAGGCCAGACACAGUGGCUCAUGCCUGUAAUCCCAGUACUUUGGGAGGCCAAGGCAGGCAGAUCACUUGAGCCCAGGAAUUCAAGACCAGCCUGGGCAACAUGGUGAAUCUCCAUCUCUACGAAAAAACACAAAAAUUUGGCCAGGCAUGGUAGCACACACCUGUAGUCCCAGCUACUCAGGAGGCUGAGGUGAGAGAAUCAUCUGAGCCCAGGAGGUUGAGGCUGCAGUGAGCCACGUUCACAUGACUGUACUCCAGCCUGGGCAACAGAGUAGACCCUGUGUCAAAAAGUAAAAAAUAAAAAUAAAUAAAAAUAAAAAUCACGAGUUGACUUCUACAUCAUUUCUUUACCAGUAGAAAUAAAGUAAAUUCUGAAAUCUUAUAGCAUACAAACGUGCCUUAUGUGUUAUUAAAUAUAAUUAGUCUCAACAUUUUUUUGUAAAAUGAUAGUUGUCUAUUUAGAAAGAAGCCCAUUUGCUAGCAUCUUUUUAAUAAGUGUUUAGUGAGAAGCAUGUGAGUUUGUUUUAUUUAGCCUGAAACUAAUUGUAUAGUGUGUCUGCUUCCUUAGAACAAAAUUGGUUGCCACUUUGUUAAGCAAUAGUAAAUAGGUCAAUUUCUGAAGGCCAGUAACGGAUCAUUUAUAAUUCAUUAGAUUGCUAAUAAAAUAAAAUUGGGGGUCUCAGUUGGGCUGCAGUAACAGAAUACCAUAGACUGGGU